This 490-nucleotide ribosomal RNA is filed under the name uncultured bacterium. RNAcentral's name for it is "partial 16S ribosomal RNA". It matches the Rfam family "Bacterial small subunit ribosomal RNA", at positions 30 to 507 of the family's 1533-position model. The record is from RNAcentral.
AUUGAACGCUGGCGGCAGGCCUAACACGUGCAAGUCGAACGGUAACAGGAAGAAGCUUGCUUCUUUGCUGACGAGUGGCGGACGGGUGAGUAAUGUCUGGGAAACUGCCUGAUGGAGGGGGAUAACUACUGGAAACGGUAGCUAAUACCGCAUAACGUCGCAAGACCAAAGAGGGGGACCUUCGGGCCUCUUGCCAUCGGAUGUGCCCAGAUGGGAUUAGCUAGUAGGUGGGGUAACGGCUCACCUAGGCGACGAUCCCUAGCUGGUCUGAGAGGAUGACCGGCCACACUGGAACUGGAACACGGUCCAGACUCCUACGGGAGGCAGCAGUGGGGAAUAUUGCACAAUGGGCGCAAGCCUGAUGCAGCCAUGCCGCGUGUAUGAAGAAGGCCUUCGGGUUGUAAAGUACUUUCAGCGGGGAGGAAGGGAGUAAGGUUAAUACCUUUACUCAUUGACGUUACCCGCAGAAGAAGCACCGGCUAACUCCGUG